This 440-nucleotide ribosomal RNA is filed under the name uncultured bacterium. RNAcentral's name for it is "partial 16S ribosomal RNA". It matches the Rfam family "Bacterial small subunit ribosomal RNA", at positions 338 to 795 of the family's 1533-position model. The record is from RNAcentral.
CCUACGGGAGGCAGCAGUGGGGAAUAUUGCACAAUGGGGGAAACCCUGAUGCAGCGACGCCGCGUGAGUGAAGAAGUAUUUCGGUAUGUAAAGCCCUAUCAGCAGGGAAGAAAAUGACGGGACCUGAUUAAGAAGCCCCGGCUAACUACGUGCCAGCAGCCGCGGUAAUACGUAGGGGGCAAGCGCUAUCCGGAUUUACUGGGUGUAAAGGGAGCGUAGACGGCAGUACAAGUCUAGAGUGAAAUGCCGGGGGUUAACCCCGGAACUGCUUUGGAAACUGUGCAGCUAGAGUGCAGGAGAGGUAAGUGGAAUUCCUGGUGUAGCGGUGAAAUGCGUAGAUAUUAGGAGGAACACCAGUGGCGAAGGCGGCUUUCUGGACUGUAACUGACGUUGAGGCUCGAAAGCGUGGGGAGCAAACAGGAUUAGAUACCCCAGUAGUC